GCUCAUCAUGAACAAAACCAAGGCCGACAACACUGUCAUUAAUGGAGCUUAUCAUGUAAUACGGAAACCUGGGAUAAGCAACAAAUUACACAAGUGACAAAUGUGAUGAGUGCUGUGCAGCAGAGUGCGGGGUGCCCAGGGAACAUUUCAGCAGAGCCCUGGAGGAUAACCGCCUGAGCUCCAGGAAGGAAGUUUCUUCAAGUGUAAAAUGAGAGGUUGGAUGGAUCAGAAGAUUCAGGCCUCCUUGCAGAUCCCCACGGGUGAACCCCAACAAACAGGCUAUUCAGCCAGCAGCCCCAAGUCCUUUAUGAAAAGCCAGGGUUGAUUGAAACUCUCCCUUCUCAGGAGAGAAACUAGAGGCAAAGCUUCCUCAUCGGCAGAGAUAAACUUGGCAGGAGCCAAUUCAGGUAGGACCACGGCCAACUCAGGGCUCGUGGUUGAUCGAAGGGGAUCUGUGUUAGUCAGCAUUCUCCAGAGAAAUGGAACCUGUUGGAUAGAUAAGUAAAAAGAUUUAUUAUCGGAGUUGGCUCAUGCAAUUGUGGAGGCCUUGAAGACCCACCAUCUCCUAUCUGCAAGCUGGAGAAACAGCAAAGCCGGUGACGUAAUUAAGUCUGAACCCAAAGGCAUAAGAUCAAGGAGAACUGAUGGUCACCUGUGUAUACUUCCAUUAUGGCAUGUAACAUGCUGGCAAGAAAAUGAUUCAUUGGGUUGUGUCUUCUCAGCUGCCUAAAGAAUGAAAUCAUAUACUCUAGUUUCAUAUGCCCAGCAUUGUACACAACUUGACACAUCACAGCAGCUCUAGGAAAGCACAUAGGCUAACAACUGAGUGAACAAUGGACUGACUGGGUGUCGUUCAGGGUUGGGAAAGCUAGGGCGGGUCUCUGUGCCCCAUCUCUAGCUUUUCCUUAACUCUGGCUUUAUAAACCCUUGCAUCAAAAAAUAAAAGCUAAGGCUAAUUGUUUCAAA
Molecule: long non-coding RNA, 966 nt
Filed under: Pongo abelii (Sumatran orangutan)
Lineage: Eukaryota; Metazoa; Chordata; Mammalia; Primates; Hominidae
Description: lincRNA
Source: RNAcentral